UUCCAUGCCCUCAUUGUUGAUAUGUUACAGACUCUAGGAGUGAGUCACCUGGGUGACGUCCUUCCAGCUGUGGAGUCUCUGAAACCAACAGCACAGUGACAAGCUGCUCUGACUGCACUCAGUGCGGCGUUUUGUGUCGUUUUAGAUUUCUGAAUAGGAAAAGAUAGAUGAGUCACGUUGAAUAUAUGAAAAUGUCCCUUCAGAGCUCUUCUAAGCAGCUCAACCAACCAAGUACCAGCUAAUAGUCACAACCCACCUGGAGCGGAAUGUUUACUUCCCAUCGAAAUUAAAUUUGUGGAGAAUAAAGAGCAGUGCUGGUCAGACUU
This is a non-coding RNA of Gasterosteus aculeatus aculeatus (three-spined stickleback), 326 nucleotides long. Lineage: Eukaryota; Metazoa; Chordata; Actinopteri; Perciformes; Gasterosteidae. The record is from RefSeq and is a predicted model, not a curated record.